UAGGGAAUCUUGCGCAAUGGGCGAAAGCCUGACGCAGCAAUGCCGCGUGAGGGAAGACGGCCUUAGGGUUGUAAACCUCUUUCGGUUGGGACGAAGCUUCUACGGUUAAUAGCCGUAUGGAGUGACGGUACCUUCAGAAGAAGCCCCGGCUAACUACGUGCCAGCAGCCGCGGUAAUACGUAGGGGGCAAGCGUUGUCCGGAAUCAUUGGGCGUAAAGCGCGUGUAGGCCGCCCGGAAAGUCUGAUGUGAAAACUUGGGGCUCAACCCUAAGCCUGCAUUGGAUACUGUCGGGCUCGAGUCUGGAAGAGGAGAGUGGAAUUCCUGGUGUAGCGGUGGAAUGCGCAGAUAUCAGGAGGAACACCAAUGGCGAAGGCAGCUCUCUGGUACAUGACUGACGCUGAGACGCGAAAGCGUGGGUAGCAAACAG
Molecule: ribosomal RNA, 428 nt
Filed under: uncultured bacterium
Lineage: Bacteria
Description: bacterial SSU rRNA
Rfam family: Bacterial small subunit ribosomal RNA
Source: RNAcentral